AUGUCGACGACUGACACCAGCUCACCCAAGGACGCACCCCUGCCGGAGAACAGCGCCCCGGCGGUGGCGGCAGGCAGCGAGCCGACGGUGACAAAGACGGUGCAGACGGUGGAGGUGAGGCAGUCGGCGGGGCAGGAGGAGGGGGAGGGGACGAUCAAGCCGAUCGAGGUGGUGCACGAGAUCCCGGCCAAGGAGCCUGCUACUAAGCAAGAGUAG
Molecule: ribosomal RNA, 216 nt
Filed under: Triticum aestivum (bread wheat)
Lineage: Eukaryota; Viridiplantae; Streptophyta; Magnoliopsida; Poales; Poaceae
Description: partial small subunit ribosomal RNA
Source: RNAcentral